GAUGAAAGCGAGGAGGUGGUAUGCAGAGAUCAUCCAUACGACGGUUUUAUCUGGCUUAUUUUCGCGCCACGCAGGAUGUGUGCUGGCUCGCCCGUCAGAGUGCAGGGCAGCGCCUGAAAAUUCUGGAAGAACUGAUGCAGUGGGAAGUGACAACGCCGAUCUCGAAGGACUGAAUCGCGGCCAUCAUGUGUGACUGAGUAUUAAGUGCGAAUGCACCCGCCAGCAAAACAUUUUUUGCUGGCUUUUUUC
RNAcentral lists this small RNA (249 nucleotides) under Kosakonia sacchari. RNAcentral's name for it is "SgrS RNA". It matches the Rfam family "SgrS RNA". From Rfam's summary of the family: In sugar transport-related sRNA (SgrS) is induced under conditions of glucose phosphate stress in E.coli. This small RNA acts to negatively regulate the translation and stability of the ptsG mRNA, which encodes the major glucose transporter in E. coli. Lineage: Bacteria; Pseudomonadati; Pseudomonadota; Gammaproteobacteria; Enterobacterales; Enterobacteriaceae. The record is from RNAcentral.